UUUGAUCCUGGCUCAGGAUGAACGCUAGCGGCAGGCCUAAUACAUGCAAGUCGAACGAGAUUACCAGCUUGCUGGUAUGAAAGUGGCGCACGGGUGCGUAACGCGUAUGCAACCUACCUUAAUCAGGGGGAUAGCCCGAAGAAAUUCGGAUUAAGACCGCAUAAAUCACAGUAUAGCAUUAUACAAUGAUCAAAUAUUUAUAGGAUUAAGAUGGGCAUGCGUGACAUUAGUUAGUUGGCGGGGUAACGGCCCACCAAGACCACGAUGUCUAGGGGAUCUGAGAGGAUGACCCCCCACACUGGUACUGAGACACGGACCAGACUCCUACGGGAGGCAGCAGUAAGGAAUAUUGGUCAAUGGAGGGAACUCUGAACCAGCCAUGCCGCGUGCAGGAAGACAGCCCUCUGGGUCGUAAACUGCUUUUAUUCGGGAAUAAACCACAUUACGUGUAAUGUGCUGAAUGUACCGAAGGAAUAAGGAUCGGCUAACUCCGUG
This 495-nucleotide ribosomal RNA is filed under the name uncultured Pedobacter sp. RNAcentral's name for it is "bacterial SSU rRNA". It matches the Rfam family "Bacterial small subunit ribosomal RNA", at positions 12 to 507 of the family's 1533-position model. The record is from RNAcentral. Lineage: Bacteria; Pseudomonadati; Bacteroidota; Sphingobacteriia; Sphingobacteriales; Sphingobacteriaceae.